Molecule: ribosomal RNA, 1372 nt
Filed under: Proboscitermes tubuliferus
Lineage: Eukaryota; Metazoa; Arthropoda; Insecta; Blattodea; Termitidae
Description: 16S ribosomal RNA
Rfam family: Archaeal large subunit ribosomal RNA (bases 900-1272)
Source: RNAcentral
CGGCAUAGUCUGAUUUAUUAAUUAUCUUGUUUUGAUUAAUUUUGUUUAGUUGUUUAAGGUUUUAUUGAAAGAUCAUUUUUGUUGUUGUAAUAUUUUGAUUUAAUUUUUUUAACGAUAGUUUAUUUGUUCUGUGAAGGGUCGGAUUUUGGUUAAAGUGUAUAUAAGGAAGUUGAUUUUGUUUGUCGUACCUUGUGUAUCAGGGUUCAUUGAAAUUUAUUAUUUAUUUUUAUUUCCCGAUUUUAGAGGAGUUAAUGGCUUAUGUUGGUUACUGUUUUAUUAGUAUUAACAAUAGGUUGUUGGUAAUGAAAUGUUAUUCGUCUUUAAUGGUUUCUGGUUUUUCAAGAAAUGAAUUCAAUUCAUGCAUCAUAUUUAAUUUCUGUUGUUUAUUUAUUUAUUUUUAUUUGAUGCUAAAAUUAAGGGGGAUUAGCUCCUUGUUUUGUUGUUAUAAUUAUUUUAUAUAAGGUAUAGUUUUGUGGAUUUUAUAGUGAUUUUCGAUUUGAUUAUGUUAAAAUUUUACUUGUUCUUUUAUUUAUUUAUUUUAAUUUAAUUGGUUUAUUGAAGUGUUUUCUUUACUUUGGCUUGCAUAGUAAUUAUUGUGGAAUUAGUAAAUCUUAUUUUUAUGUUGUUGGGUUGUAAUAAAUUGAUGUUAAUUAUUUUUUAGGAAUUCGGCAAAUAUUGUGUCCGCCUGUUUAACAAAAACAUCUUUUCUUGUUAGUUUUUGAAGUAUGGCCUGCCCACUGACUUUUUAGUUAAAGGGCCGCGGUAUUUUGACCGUGCAAAGGUAGCAUAAUCAUUAGUUCUUUAAUUGUGAUCUGGUAUGAAUGGCUUGACGAGACAUUAGCUGUCUUGAGUAUAUUGUCUAUUGAAUUUAGUUUUUGAGUUAAAAUUCUUAGAUGUUUUUAUGGGACGAGAAGACCCUAUAGAGUUUUACAUUUUUCUUAUUGUAUACUAUUUUUGUUUUGUUAAUUUAAUUGGAAUGAGUGUUUUGUUGGGGUGAUGGGAGGAAUUUUUUUAACUCCUCUUUAUUUAGUUGUAUAUUUAUUUAUAUUUGUUUUGAUCCAUUUAUUUUGAUUAUAAGAUUAAAUUACCUUAGGGAUAACAGCGUUAUCUUCCCUGAGAGUUCUUAUUGGCGGGAAGGUUUGCGACCUCGAUGUUGGAUUAAGGUGAAUUUUCGGUGCAGGAGCUGAAUUUGUGAUUAGGUCUGUUCGACCUUUAAAACCUUACAUGAUCUGAGUUCAGACCGGCGUGAGCCAGGUUGGUUUCUAUCUAUAAUAGUGUUUUAUAUCUUAGUACGAGAGGACCGGAUAUUUGGAAUAAUUUUAUUUUAUUUGAUUGUUAUUAAUAUGAUUACUAUUUUGGCAGAUAAGUGCAU